CUGAUAACAAAGCAUAUCUGCAAGCAUCACUCAAACUUUCUUGGAUUGAAUGUGGCCUCCUGUAAACAAACAUAUUGCUAUAAGCCUUGUGGUUCAUCAAUAAUGCUUUCUUGAAACAAACAUAGUGGUGUAACCCCUGUAGUUCAAGUCAAGAGACAUAUCCAUCAUUCGAAGAAGAAAAAUCACAUUUUGGAAGUGUGAAAACCAUAUAUCCUUCAGCAGUUCUAAGAGAAGCCGUCACUGUGGUUGGUGCCUCUGAUUACACCCAAGCGAAAGCACAAGCUUGAAAUGUUCUCAACAAUUGUUUAUGGGACUGUAGUAUUAAGAUCAAUAACUUUCUCAUCCACCCAAACCCCCGUUAUCUUGAA
Molecule: long non-coding RNA, 368 nt
Filed under: Nicotiana tabacum (common tobacco)
Lineage: Eukaryota; Viridiplantae; Streptophyta; Magnoliopsida; Solanales; Solanaceae
Description: long non-coding RNA (NTAB_LNC017948)
Source: RNAcentral